This is a long non-coding RNA of Struthio camelus australis, 1593 nucleotides long. RefSeq lists it as uncharacterized. The record is from RefSeq and is a predicted model, not a curated record. NCBI's taxonomy places the organism in Eukaryota, Metazoa, Chordata, Aves, Struthioniformes, Struthionidae.
CUUUUAAAAAUGUAAAUGUGAUGAGAAGCCAUCUCAGUCUACUGGCACUGUGCUUCAGAAAGAUAAUUUUAUGUUUUCAAGAUCUUUAUUCCAGGAGAGGAAUGUACAUGAAAAAUUGUUUAACAAUCUAAUCUACCGAGUCAUUUCCAUAAGAAUUUGAUGGCAGUGACUGGGAUGUUUCACAUGGAGCAAAGAGACAUUCAUAUUCUGUAAAAAACAAAGGUGACUGGAAGUUGCCCUGAGAAAACCUAAUGCAGAACUCAAGAAGCUGCAAAUACGUCUGGGUCAUACAUCUAUCAAAAGCAAGUGAAAUCCGAAGAACUUACAGUGCGUUGGUAAGCAGAGCUGCAGAGAUCUGAAAAUAAUCGCAAUGUAGCCAUUAUGCGCACCGUAAUUGUGGCAUAUCACUGCACAGGCUUUGAGUUACAGCACUGAACUGAAUGGGGCAAGACAUUGCCAUGUUGCUUACAUGGCAAUUCCUGGUGCCUGGUGGACUCCAACUUACUGCAAAGUGCCUCUCAAGCUCUUCAUCAAAGACCUCCAUACUUCAGAGAGGGGUUUUGAAGAAGGAAGAUGCACAGCCUUGAUGUGAAGAGGACUUUCGAUGGUUCCCAGGAAUCCUGCCCAUAACAUCAGUUCUCACAACUGACCACACUGCGUGGAGGCAGCCUUGAGGAUGAAUGAGCAUGCUUCACUCAAGCUGCAUGGACUGAACAGGACCCUUCUCCCGGGUGAUUCUCCCAGCACCUCUGGCUACCAGAGUGGCACAGAAGCUGCACAAGGAGAUUGUUGUCUCCAUCUUGCAUACGCCUUAUGAAAGUGUGAUAAUAACAACUCACUUUACAGGAAUGUUUUAAGUACGCUUAUGUGGGUGCAUGAGUGAGUAUGUGUAUAUGUGCAGAAAGACAGGAUGGAUCAGUCUCUUUGAAGUGCUCAUUCUCUCAAGCAAGCCUAGUAAAAACAACAGAACAAACAAUCAAGUAGCCACCGACUAAAUCAACAUGGCUGAACAUAUCCAUGCAAAAAUAAUAUUUGAGCACAUAAUUAAAUUGUAGCAUAAUAUCCAGAUGUAAGGGGAGUUGAACUAAAGCUGAAUGGUCCAUCUCAUUUCUACCAUUUCCUAAUUUUUGAGGGCUUGACUUUGCAGUCUCAGUAUUUCUUUAGUGUUUUCUCAUUUGAAAUAAAUUAUUUGCUUCCGUAACAUUCUGUAGAUGAUUCAUGGCAACAGACCCAUCGUCUCUGUAUUUGUACUCAACAUGUUGCUACAAGUGCUAGUUACAGGCAGCACUCAUUGUCUUGUAUGUUACACAUUUACUUAAAGGUCAAAACAGAAGGGAGAGCAUUAUAAUGGCCUGGCUGGUUGAUGUCAGAUUUUAUACUUUGCAGCUUCAUUAGAUGGCAUUACAUCACAGGAUACAGUCAAGCAAAGCCUGAAUUGAUCCUACUUGACUGAAUUCUAAAUGAAUGGAAAAUGACUACCUGGUUUGCCAAGGAACAGCAAUAAUGGCAUGACAAAUCUGUGAUUUCUAUGAAGAUUUAUUUCUUCAUAGCACUUCUUUUCAGUUUAUGUGUUUCAGCUGUGGUCAUGGAAUU